AUCCACUUAGCUCAACGGUAGAGCCCUGCCUGUGCGGGAGAUGCAGGUUCAAUUCCUGCGGUGG
This 64-nucleotide transfer RNA is filed under the name Candidatus Faecinaster equi. RNAcentral's name for it is "tRNA-OTHER". It matches the Rfam family "tRNA". Rfam says of the family: Transfer RNA (tRNA) molecules are approximately 80 nucleotides in length. Their secondary structure includes four short double-helical elements and three loops (D, anti-codon, and T loops). Lineage: Bacteria; Pseudomonadati; Bacteroidota; Bacteroidia; Bacteroidales; Bacteroidaceae. The record is from RNAcentral.